GACGAACGCUGGCGGCGUGCUUAACACAUGCAAGUCGAACGGAAAGGCCCUGCUUUUGUGGGGUGCUCGAGUGGCGAACGGGUGAGUAACACGUGAGUAACCUGCCCUUGACUUUGGGAUAACUUCAGGAAACUGGGGCUAAUACCGGAUAGGAGCUCCUGCUGCAUGGUGGGGGUUGGAAAGUUUCGGCGGUUGGGGAUGGACUCGCGGCUUAUCAGCUUGUUGGUGGGGUAGUGGCUUACCAAGGCUUUGACGGGUAGCCGGCCUGAGAGGGUGACCGGCCACAUUGGGACUGAGAUACGGCCCAGACUCCUCCGGGAGGCAGCGGUGGGGAAUAUUGCACAAUGGGCGGAAGCCUGAUGCAGCAACGCCGCGUGCGGGAUGACGGCCUUCGGGUUGUAAACCGCUUUCGCCUGUGACGAAGCGUGAGUGACGGUAAUGGGUAAAGAAGCACCGGCUAACUACGUG
RNAcentral lists this ribosomal RNA (468 nucleotides) under uncultured bacterium. RNAcentral describes it as "partial 16S ribosomal RNA". It matches the Rfam family "Bacterial small subunit ribosomal RNA", at positions 28 to 507 of the family's 1533-position model. The record is from RNAcentral.